AGCUCCAAUAGCGUAUAUUAAAGUUGUUGCAGUUAAAAAGCUCGUAGUUGAACUUCAGACCUGGCUGGGCGGUCCGCUUAACGGCGUGUACUGUCUGGCUGGGCCUUACCUCUUGGUGAGCCGGCGUGCCCUUUAUUGGUGUGCGUCGGGGAACCAGGACUUUUACCUUGAGAAAAUUAGAGUGUUCAAAGCAGGCCUAUGCCCGAAUACAUUAGCAUGGAAUAAUAAAAUAGGACGUGCGGUUCUAUUUUGUUGGUUUCUAGAGUCGCCGUAAUGAUUAAUAGGGAUAGUUGGGGGCAUUGGUAUUGGGUCGCUAGAGGUGAAAUUCUUGGAUUGACUCAAGACCGACUAUUGCGAAAGCAUUUGCCAAGGAUGUUUUCA
RNAcentral lists this ribosomal RNA (381 nucleotides) under uncultured eukaryote. Its description in RNAcentral is "SSU rRNA". It matches the Rfam family "Eukaryotic small subunit ribosomal RNA", at positions 587 to 972 of the family's 1831-position model. The record is from RNAcentral.